UAGGGAAUUUUGGACAAUGGGCGAAAGCCUGAUCCAGCGACGCCGCGUGGGGGAUGAAGGCCUCCGGGUUGUAAACCCCUGUUGCGAGGGAAGAAGCCACCGCAAGGAUGGUGACGGUACCUCGCGAGGAAGCCCCGGCUAACUACGUGCCAGCAGCCGCGGUAAGACGUAGGGGGCAAGCGUUAUCCGGAUUCACUGGGCGUAAAGGGCGCGUAGGCGGCUACGUAAGUCGGUUGUGAAAUCCCCGGGCUCAACUCGGGAACUGCGACCGAUACUGCGUUGGCUUGAGGACGGUAGAGGCUAGUGGAACUAGCGGUGUAGCGGUGAAAUGCGCAGAUAUCGCUAGGAACGCCGGUGGCGAAGGCGACUGGCUGGGCCGAUCCUGACGCUGAGGCGCGAAAGCCAGGGGAGCGAACCGG
Molecule: ribosomal RNA, 419 nt
Filed under: uncultured bacterium
Lineage: Bacteria
Description: bacterial SSU rRNA
Rfam family: Bacterial small subunit ribosomal RNA
Source: RNAcentral